CCAACCUCUCCACCAUUGACCUGCAAGGACCCUCUCACCCAGCCACUCCAUAGCUGACCUGCAAGUACCCUCCCACCCCAACCUCUCCAACAUUAAUCUGCAAGGACCCUCCCACCCAACCACUCCACUGUUGACCUGCAAGAACCCUUCUACUCCAAGCACUUCAGCAUUGACCUGCAAGGACCCUUCUACUCCAAGCACUUCAGCAUUGACCUGCAAGGACCCUUCUACCCCAACCACUUCAGCAUUAACCUCACCCCUUGUUGUACCAGGGCCCCACGUGCCCCGAACGGAUCACCGCAGCCCCGCACGCACCGCCGCCCGCUCCGCUCCGCUCAGCGCUGCUCCCCCGCUCCCUCCGCGGCGCCGCGGGGUUCGAUGGGAAAGAGAGUCCCAAACCGCAGCGCCGCCGCAGCGCCCCCCGCGCUUUGGACUACAGCUCCCAGAGUGCAUCGCGGCACAGACCCUCUGCGCGUCACGUGACGUGUGGGGGGGGACGCGGGCAGAUGAACGCAUCCACGUGGAACGGAGCGCAGAUGGAGAACGCGGCCCCACGGGGCUGGAAUGUGGGGAUCCGGGAGGGCAGGAAACACUUGCGGCACAUCCCCGGUUGGCACUCAGCACUGGGACACUCAAUGGGUUCUACCAACACCGGGGGCAGAAUUGGGGCUGACGGACCCACAGAUGCUCCCGUGAGUUCGGACACAACGCUACAAACCACGUGGCUGCAUGGAGCGGACGGCGUGAACAGCAAAACCCCACAUUUCUCCAAAUCCCAUCGCCUUCCUGGCGACUCUACCACGAUGAGGUUCUCUCCGUGUCCUUCCUUCCCUAUGAGUUCUGCUAUGAGUUCUGGUUCUGGUUCCGCUCCCCCGGAUCCGCGCACCGCGGGACGAGUCGGUGCCGCACACCUCCAGGAGCAUCUCCUCUCCCAAGUGGAGAUUUCACAUUCAUUUCACGGGUAUGGCAAAGUCCUUUUGCUUUUCCUUCAAAGGUGCUUUACAUUCAAGAGCUAUUGCAAUCCACAACCCCGCUGUCUUGGGUUUGGUUACGCGAUUUAAAAUGGAUGGCCCCAAACCUCAGGGUUCAGUUCGUCUCCGGAUUUGGGGCCGGGGAG
This 1117-nucleotide long non-coding RNA is filed under the name Phasianus colchicus (ring-necked pheasant). RNAcentral describes it as "lncRNA (ENSPCLG00000015129.1)". Lineage: Eukaryota; Metazoa; Chordata; Aves; Galliformes; Phasianidae. The record is from RNAcentral.